Molecule: non-coding RNA, 92 nt
Organism: Bacillus sp. TS-2
Lineage: Bacteria; Bacillati; Bacillota; Bacilli; Caryophanales; Bacillaceae
Source: Rfam
UGGGCUGUAUCUUAUAUGAAUAGCACCACUUUUAUAAAGUGAGACAUAUUUUAAAUAGUCUGCCUUGAUCCGAGCUGGACUAGGACAGAGGG